This 688-nucleotide ribosomal RNA is filed under the name Priestia flexa. RNAcentral describes it as "bacterial SSU rRNA". It matches the Rfam family "Bacterial small subunit ribosomal RNA", at positions 94 to 768 of the family's 1533-position model. The record is from RNAcentral. Lineage: Bacteria; Bacillati; Bacillota; Bacilli; Caryophanales; Bacillaceae.
AGCGGCGGACGGGUGAGUAACACGUGGGCAACCUGCCUGUAAGACUGGGAUAACUUCGGGAAACCGAAGCUAAUACCGGAUAGGAUCUUCUCCUUCAUGGGAGAUGAUUGAAAGAUGGUUUCGGCUAUCACUUACAGAUGGGCCCGCGGUGCAUUAGCUAGUUGGUGAGGUAACGGCUCACCAAGGCAACGAUGCAUAGCCGACCUGAGAGGGUGAUCGGCCACACUGGGACUGAGACACGGCCCAGACUCCUACGGGAGGCAGCAGUAGGGAAUCUUCCGCAAUGGACGAAAGUCUGACGGAGCAACGCCGCGUGAGUGAUGAAGGCUUUCGGGUCGUAAAACUCUGUUGUUAGGGAAGAAAAAAACAAGAGUACAUUUCUCAUAGCUUGACGGUACCUAACCAGAAAGCCACGGCUAACUACGUGCCAGCAGCCGCGGUAAUACGUAGGUGGCAAGCGUUAUCCGGAAUUAUUGGGCGUAAAGCGCGCGCAGGCGGUUUCUUAAGUCUGAUGUGAAAGCCCACGGCUCAACCGUGGAGGGUCAUUGGAAACUGGGGAACUUGAGUGCAGAAGAGAAAAGCGGAAUUCCACGUGUAGCGGUGAAAUGCGUAGAGAUGUGGAGGAACACCAGUGGCGAAGGCGGCUUUUUGGUCUGUAACUGACGCUGAGGCGCGAAAGCGUGGGGAG